RNAcentral lists this unclassified non-coding RNA (20 nucleotides) under Mus musculus (house mouse). RNAcentral's name for it is "oocyte_clustered_small_RNA2412". The record is from RNAcentral. Lineage: Eukaryota; Metazoa; Chordata; Mammalia; Rodentia; Muridae.
GUAGCGGACACCCAAGAACU